This is a ribosomal RNA of Bison bison bison, 81 nucleotides long. The record is from Ensembl. Lineage: Eukaryota; Metazoa; Chordata; Mammalia; Artiodactyla; Bovidae.
ACAUGAUACUAUACAUGUUUCAAUGCAUUCUCGUCCCGAUCUCAGAAGCUAAGCAGGGUCGGGCCUGCUUAGUAUCUUGUC